Molecule: ribosomal RNA, 253 nt
Filed under: uncultured bacterium
Lineage: Bacteria
Description: partial 16S ribosomal RNA
Rfam family: Bacterial small subunit ribosomal RNA
Source: RNAcentral
UACGUAGGGUGCAAGCGUUAAUCGGAAUUACUGGGCGUAAAGCGUGCGCAGGCGGUUGUGCAAGACAGAUGUGAAAUCCCCGGGCUCAACCUGGGAACUGCAUUUGUGACUGCACGGCUGGAGUGCGGCAGAGGGGGAUGGAAUUCCGCGUGUAGCAGUGAAAUGCGUAGAGAUGCGGAGGAACACCGAUGGCGAAGGCAGCCCCCUGGGCUGACACUGACGCUCAGGCACGAAAGCGUGGGGAGCAAACAGG